Molecule: non-coding RNA, 84 nt
Filed under: Roseovarius nanhaiticus
Lineage: Bacteria; Pseudomonadati; Pseudomonadota; Alphaproteobacteria; Rhodobacterales; Roseobacteraceae
Description: Roseovarius sp. NH52J Singlet oxygen resistance RNA X
Rfam family: Singlet oxygen resistance RNA X
About the family: SorX (RSs2461)like SorY is a singlet oxygen induced sRNA that counteracts oxidative stress by targeting mRNA for a transporter in Rhodobacter. It also has an impact on resistance against organic hydroperoxides.
Source: Rfam by way of RNAcentral
GCUCUUUUGACGGGAGCGCCACUACGGCGCGCUCGUCAUACCUCCCUGUUGGACUAUGGCCGAGCUUUAAGCUCGGCCUUUUUU